Molecule: ribosomal RNA, 908 nt
Filed under: Scolecithrix bradyi
Lineage: Eukaryota; Metazoa; Arthropoda; Copepoda; Calanoida; Scolecitrichidae
Description: SSU rRNA
Rfam family: Eukaryotic small subunit ribosomal RNA
Source: RNAcentral
GUGAAACCGCGAAUGGCUCAUUAAAUCACACCUAAUCUACUGGAUAGUUAACAGUUACUUGGAUAACUGCGGUAAUUCUGGAGCUAAUACAUGCACAAAGCCCCGAACGUAAGUGAGGGGCGCUUUUAUUAGAUCAAAACCAAACGGCUUCGGCUGUUCUCCUGGUGACUCUGAAUAACUUUGGGCUGAUCGCAUAGCCUAGCGCUGGCGACAUAUCCUUCGAAGGUGUGCCCUAUCAACUGUCGACUGUGGCAUAGACGCCCACAGUGGUUUUGACGGGUAACGGGGAAUCAGGGUUCGAUUCCGGAGAGGGAGCCUUAAAAACGGCUACCACAUCUAAGGAAGGCAGCAGGCACGCAAAUUACCCAAUGGCCGAAGGCCGAGGUAGUGACGAAAAAUAACGAUACAGGACUCAUCUGAGGCCCUGUAAUCGGAAUGAGUACACUUUAAAACCGUCCCCGAGGAUCUAUUGGAGGGCAAGUCUGGUGCCAGCAGCCGCGGUAAUUCCAGCUCCAAUAGCGUAUAUUAAAGUUGUUGUGGUUAAAAAGCUCGUAGUUGGAUCUCGGCGGUCUGAGAGCGGUUCACUUGCUAGUGCUACUGCCCUAUAGACCGUAGUUUUGCCAGAGGUCUCAGGGUGCUCUUAAUCGAGUGUCUUGUGAUGCUGGCAGGUUUACUUUGAAAAAAUUAGAGUGCUCAAAGCAGGCUUUUACGCCUGAAUAUUCGUGCAUGGAAUAAUAGAAUAGGAAGUCGUUUCUAUUUUGUUGGUUUUCGGAAAUCGACUUAAUGAUUAAUAGGGACAGUCGGGGGCAUUUGUAUUCAAACGACAGAGGUGAAAUUCUUGGACCGUUUGAAGACAAACUACUGCGAAAGCAUUUGCCAAGAAUGUUUUCAUUAAUCAAGAACGAAAG